This is a long non-coding RNA of Cucumis melo (muskmelon), 388 nucleotides long. RefSeq lists it as uncharacterized. Lineage: Eukaryota; Viridiplantae; Streptophyta; Magnoliopsida; Cucurbitales; Cucurbitaceae. The record is from RefSeq and is a predicted model, not a curated record. The transcript is spliced from 4 exons.
GUUUGUUGGUUUAAUUCCUUCAGAUUUUUUCUCUGUUAGAGUGUGAAGCGGUUUUUAGGGAAGUUUCUGUUUGGCUAUCAAGGAAGAAAAAUCACAAGAUUUUUCUUUGUGGUGUUCGUGUUGGUAGACAAAAGAAGUUAAAUUGUCCAAAGCAAAGCGACAUUGUAGAUUGUGGGCAUUAUGUCAUGCAAUUCAUGCAUGAUAUAACAUUAUCAAGCAACAAGACAAUCUUGGAAGUAGUAGAUGGAAGGAGCAGCCUCGACAUACUCAUAGGAUGAUUUAGAUGUCGUAAGAUCGGAGUUGGCUGAAUUCGUUGGAACACAUGUUUACUUUGCUGAAAGGUAGUUUAAGAAUCCGUUGACCAUGAGACUGAUCAAGUUCAUUUAUG